RNAcentral lists this ribosomal RNA (699 nucleotides) under uncultured Alphaproteobacteria bacterium. RNAcentral describes it as "bacterial SSU rRNA". It matches the Rfam family "Bacterial small subunit ribosomal RNA", at positions 10 to 755 of the family's 1533-position model. Lineage: Bacteria; Pseudomonadati; Pseudomonadota; Alphaproteobacteria. The record is from RNAcentral.
AGUUUGAUCCUGGCUCAGAACGAACGCUGGCGGCAGGCUUAACACAUGCAAGUCGAACGAGCUCUUCGGAGCUAGUGGCAGACGGGUGAGUAACGCGUGGGAAUCUACCCAGUUCUCUGGAAUAACUGAUGGAAACGUCAGCUAAUACCGGAUACGCCCUUUUGGGGAAAGAUUUAUCGGGAUUGGAUGAGCCCGCGUAAGAUUAGCUAGUUGGUGGGGUAACGGCCUACCAAGGCGACGAUCUUUAGCUGGUCUGAGAGGAUGAUCAGCCACACUGGGACUGAGACACGGCCCAGACUCCUACGGGAGGCAGCAGUGGGGAAUAUUGGACAAUGGGGGCAACCCUGAUCCAGCCAUGCCGCGUGAGUGAUGAAGGCCUUAGGGUUGUAAAGCUCUUUCACCGGUGAAGAUAAUGACGGUAACCGGAGAAGAAGCCCCGGCUAACUUCGUGCCAGCAGCCGCGGUAAUACGAAGGGGGCUAGCGUUGUUCGGAAUUACUGGGCGUAAAGCGCACGUAGGCGGAUAUUUAAGUCAGGGGUGAAAUCCCGGAGCUCAACUCCGGAACUGCCUUUGAUACUGGAUAUCUAGAGACCGAGAGAGGUAAGUGGAACUCCUAGUGUAGAGGUGGAAUUCGUAGAUAUUAGGAAGAACACCAGUGGCGAAGGCGGCUAACUGGCUCGGAACUGACGCUGAGGUGCG